Molecule: ribosomal RNA, 2908 nt
Filed under: Puniceicoccales bacterium
Lineage: Bacteria; Pseudomonadati; Verrucomicrobiota; Opitutia; Puniceicoccales
Description: 23S ribosomal RNA
Rfam family: Bacterial large subunit ribosomal RNA
Source: RNAcentral
UUUAAAUAAAUAAAGGGCAAUAGGUGGAUGCCUAGGCGAUAUCAGGCGAAGAAGGACGUGAUUACCUGCGAAAAGCCUCGGGGAGCUGGAAGUAAGCUUUGAUCCGGGGAUGUCCGAAUGGGGCAACCCGUUUGAGUAACAAUCAAACAGUCUCAACUGAAUACAUAGGGUGAGAUGGCAAACCUGCAGAAAUGAAACAUCUAAGUAAGCAGAGGAAAAGAAAGCGAAAGCGAUUCUCUAAGUAGUGGCGAGCGAAAGGGGAAGAGCCCAAACCAUUGGGAUUUAUCCCAGUGGGGUUGUAGGACUCACAUAAAAGGAUGGAAUGAAUAGCUUAACUUUGUUGGAAAGCAAGACCCAAGAGGGUGAUGGUCCCGUGAGCGAAAUUUGUGAAAUUCGAGUGAGUAUCCUGAGUAGCACGAGGUAAGUGGAAUCUUGUGUGAAUUUGCGCGAACUACUGCGUAAGGCUAAAUACUUGAUAUCGACCGAUAGUGGACAAGUACCGUGAGGGAAAGGUGAAAAGAACCCCUGUUAGGGGAGUGAAAUAGAAACUGAAACCAAUUGCCUACAAGCGGUCGGAGCCUCUUUAUGAGGUGACGGCGUACCUUUUGCAUUAUGGGUCUGGGAGUUAUUGUUUAAGGCAAGCUUAAGAUUUUAUGGAUCGGAGGCGUAGCGAAAGCGAGUCUGAAUAGGGCGAUAGUCGUAGGCAAUAGACCCGAAGCGGAGAUGAUCUACCCAUGGCCAGGUUGAAGCUUUGGUAACACAAAGUGGAGGACCGAACCCGUGAACCUUGAGAAGUUUUGGGAUGAGCUGUGGGUUGGAGUGAAAGGCUAAUCAAAUUCCGUGAUAGCUGGUUCUCUUCGAAAUAUAUUUAGGUAUAGCCUCGUAUGCUGAUUAUGGGAGGUAGAGCACUGAAAAGACUAGGGCCCAUACCCGGGUACCAAACCUUAUCAAACUACGAAUACCCAUGAAAGAAAUACGGGAGUCAGGCAGUGGGGGAUAAGCUUCAUUGCCAAGAGGGAAAGAGCCCAGAUCACCAAUUAAGGCCCCAAAAUCAUUGCUAAGUGGAAGUAAGGAGGUGGAUUUACAUAAACAAUAGGAAUGUUGGCUUAGAGGCAGCCAUCAUUUAAACAGUGCGUAACAGCUGACCUAUCGAGUGAAUUUGCGCCGAAAAAGAUCGGGACUAAGCAAUGUGCCGAAGUUGUGAACUUGCGAAAGCAAGUGGUAGAAGAGCGUUCUAAUCGGGUAGAAGUUUAAGGGAUAACCGAGAAUGGACUGAUUGGAAGUGAGAAUCCAGACAUGAGUAACGAUAAGUACGGUGGAAAUCCGUACCGCCGUAAGGACAAGGUUUCCUUGGGAAGGUUCGUCCGCCAAGGGUUAGUCGGGAGCUAAAAUGAGGCCGUAAGGAGUAAUUGAUGCACAACAGGUUAAUAUUCCUGUACCGACUUGUGAGCGUAUGUAUUCAAGGAGUAACAAAAGAAGCUAUUUCAGCAUUCGGUUGAAAGAGAAUGUCGAAGCCAACAAGGCUGUCUGAUAGGAAAAUCCGUCGGACGUAAGGCUGAGUGGUGAUAGGACAUGGAGGCUACGGCCAAAGUGGAUUGAAAGAGGCUAUAUUUUCAAGAAAAACUUCGUGAAGAGCUUACAGGUUGCCCGUACCGGAAACCGACACAGGUGUCCGAGAUGAGUAUUCUAAGGCGCGUGAGUUAACCCUCCCCAAGGAACUCGGCAAAUUAAUCCUGUAUCUUUGGUAGAAAGGAUGCCUCGCAAGAGGCCGCAGAGAAAUGGCCCAGCCGACUGUUUAGCAAAAACACAGCUCUCUGCUAAGUCGUAAGACGACGUAUAGGGAGUGACACGUGACCCAUGCGGAAAGGUGAAACUCGGAGGUGCAAGCUUCUGAACUAAGCCCCCGUUAAUGUCGGCCGUAACUAUAACGGUCCUAAGGUAGCGAAAUUCCUUGUCGGGUAAGUUCCGACCUGCACGAAACGUGUAACGAGUUGGGCGCUGUCUCAGGGAGGUGCUCAGUGAAAUUGUAGUCGCGGUGAAAAUGCCGCGUACCCGCAGUAGGACGGAAAGACCCUAUGGACCUUUACUGUAACCUGGUAUGGGUGACUGAUUUUUAAUGCGUAGGAUAGGUGGGAGACUUUGAGUCCGUGCUUCAGGGCAUGGGUGAGUCGACGGUGAAAUACCACUCUUUAAUAAUCAGUGAUCUAACGUUGUCCCAUUAUCUGGGCAAUGGACAGUGCUAGGGGGUCAGUUUGACUGGGGCGGUCUCCUCCCAAAAAGUAACGGAGGAUUACGAAGGUCUCCUCAGGCCGGUUGGCAACCGGUUGUAGAGCAUAUGAGUAGAAGGAGGCUUUACUGUGAGACUUACAAGUCGAGCAGUUGCGAAAGCAGGUUCAAGUGAUCCGGUAGUGGCACGUAGAAGCCCUAUCGCUUAUAGGAUAAAAGGUACCCUAGGGAUAACAGGCUGAUAACGCCCAAGCGUUCAUAGCGACGGCGUUGUUUGGCACCUCGAUGUCGACUCAUCACAUCCUGGGGCUGGAGAAGGUCCCAAGGGUUUGGCUGUUCGCCAAUUAAAGUGGUACGUGAGUUGGGUUCAGAACGUCGCGAGACAGUUCGGUCCUCUAUCCUCUGUGGCGUUGGAAAUUUGAAGGAUUCAUUCUCUAGUACGAGAGGACCGAGAAUGACGAGCCGCUGGUGUUCCGGUUAUCGUGUCAACGGUAGUGCCGGGUAGCUAUGCUCGGAAAAGAUAAGCGCUGAAAGCAUCUAAGCGCCAAGCUUGUCCAAAGAUAAGAUUUCCCAAGAGCAAUCUUGUAAGAAUCCUGGAAGACGACCAGGUUGAUAGGGCAGAUGUGUAAGUAUAGUAAUAUAUUGAGCUAACUGCUACUAAUGAUUCGAGUGAAUUUAAAAU